GUCUUUCCUCCUCCGCUUCUCCCCUCCCCUUACCUCUUUCCCCCGCCUCCUCUCCUAGCCUCCCCAUCUCUCCUCUACCCCAAUCUUCUGCCCUCUCCUCUGCUUCCCCGGCCUCCCCCUUCUGACUCUCCUCUCCCCUCUUUGUAUCCCCCAUCUUGCCUCCCUGCUUCCCACAUCCGACCACCCGACCUCUCUCCUCAGACGUGGACGAAUGUCGCGAGCGAGGCCCAGCCCUGUGCGGGUCGCAGCGCUGUGAGAACUCUCCCGGCUCCUACCGCUGUGUCCGGGACUGCGAUCCUGGGUACCACGCGGGCCCCGAGGGCACCUGUGACGAUGUGAACGAGUGUGAAACACUACAGGGUGUAUGUGGAGCUGCCCUGUGUGAAAAUGUCGAAGGCUCCUUCCUCUGUGUCUGCCCCAACAGCCCGGAGGAGUUUGACCCCAUGACUGGACGCUGUGUUCCCCCACGAACUUCUGCUGACGUGGACGAAUGUCAGCUCUUCCGAGACCAGGUGUGCAAGAGUGGCGUGUGCGUGAACACGGCCCCGGGCUACUCAUGCUAUUGCAGCAACGGCUACUACUACCACACACAGCGGCUGGAGUGCAUCGAUAAUGACGAAUGCGCCGAUGAGGAACCGGCCUGUGAGGGCGGCCGCUGUGUCAACACUGUGGGCUCUUAUCACUGUACCUGCGAGCCCCCACUGGUGCUGGAUGGCUCGCAGCGCCGCUGCGUCUCCAACGAGAGCCAGAGCCUCGAUGACAAUCUGGGAGUGUGCUGGCAGGAAGUGGGGGCUGACCUCGUGUGCAGCCACCCUCGGCUGGACCGUCAGGCCACCUACACAGAGUGCUGCUGCCUGUAUGGAGAGGCCUGGGGCAUGGACUGCGCCCUCUGCCCUGCGCAGGACUCAGAUGACUUCGAGGCCCUGUGCAAUGUGCUACGCCCCCCGGCAUAUAGCCCCCCGCGACCAGGUGGCUUUGGACUCCCCUACGAGUACGGCCCAGACUUAGGUCCACCUUACCAGGGCCUCCCAUAUGGGCCUGAGUUGUACCCACCACCUGUGCUACCCUACGACCCCUACCCACCGCCACCUGGGCCCUUCGCCCGCCGGGAGGCUCCUUACGGGGCACCCCGCUUCGACAUGCCAGACUUUGAGGACGAUGGUGGCCCCUAUGGCGAAUCUGAGGCUCCUGCGCCACCUGGCCCGGGCACCCGCUGGCCCUAUCGGUCCCGGGACACCCGCCGCUCCUUCCCAGAGCCCGAGGAGCCUCCUGAAGGUGGAAGCUAUGCUGGUUCCCUGUCUGAGCCCUACGAGGAGCUGGAGACGGAGGAGUGCGGGAUCCUGGACGGCUGCACCAACGGCCGCUGCGUGCGCGUCCCCGAAGGCUUCACCUGCCGUUGCUUCGACGGCUACCGCCUGGACGUGACCCGCAUGGCCUGCGUUGACAUCAACGAGUGUGAUGAGGCCGAGGCUGCCUCCCCGCUGUGCGUCAACGCGCGCUGCCUCAACACGGAUGGCUCCUUCCGCUGCAUCUGCCGCCCGGGAUUCGCACCCACGCACCAGCCGCACCACUGUGCGCCCGCACGGCCCCGGGCCUGAGCCCUGGCACCCGCUGGCCGCCCACCCGCGCCCGCCACUCGGGGCCCCUGCCGCGCAUCCUGCAGCCCACUUAUGUGUAUGUGCACGGGGCCGCCCGCC
This 1697-nucleotide small RNA is filed under the name Pan troglodytes (chimpanzee). Its description in RNAcentral is "retained intron". Lineage: Eukaryota; Metazoa; Chordata; Mammalia; Primates; Hominidae. The record is from RNAcentral.